This 465-nucleotide ribosomal RNA is filed under the name uncultured Klebsiella sp. RNAcentral describes it as "bacterial SSU rRNA". It matches the Rfam family "Bacterial small subunit ribosomal RNA", at positions 338 to 795 of the family's 1533-position model. Lineage: Bacteria; Pseudomonadati; Pseudomonadota; Gammaproteobacteria; Enterobacterales; Enterobacteriaceae. The record is from RNAcentral.
CCUACGGGGGGCUGCAGUGGGGAAUAUUGCACAAUGGGCGCAAGCCUGAUGCAGCCAUGCCGCGUGUGUGAAGAAGGCCUUCGGGUUGUAAAGCACUUUCAGCGGGGAGGAAGGCGUUAAGGUUAAUAACCUUGUCGAUUGACGUUACCCGCAGAAGAAGCACCGGCUAACUCCGUGCCAGCAGCCGCGGUAAUACGGAGGGUGCAAGCGUUAAUCGGAAUUACUGGGCGUAAAGCGCACGCAGGCGGUCUGUCAAGUCGGAUGCGAAAUCCCCGGGCUCAACCUGGGAACUGCAUUCGAAACUGGCAGGCUAGAGUCUUGUAGAGGGGGGUAGAAUUCCAGGUGUAGCGGUGAAAUGCGUAGAGAUCUGGAGGAAUACCGGUGGCGAAGGCGGCCCCCUGGACAAAGACUGACGCUCAGGUGCGAAAGCGUGGGGAGCAAACAGGAUUAGAUACCCGGGUAGUC